CUCCGGGGACGCGCGGUUGGAAGUUGCACCGUGACGUGGUCAGAUCGGAUGAUAGAAUUUUGAAACCUCCCCCGCAUUAAGGCAAGAAAGGUGCCUGUUUUUUCCGAAGUGAGCCUGCUUGACUCCUUUGAUUUUUCUCUGGGAUUCUUCAUCCUCCAUCAAGUUGAUCGAGCCCUCUGGGUCUUGGUCAGUUUCCUGACAUCUCUAUGAAGUUCAGUGACCCAGACUGAGUCCACGUCUCCAAUGAGGUUCUGACUAAUGCAGAGUCUAACAGAAAGAUUACUGGACAUGUCAUGCACUAUUAAUAACCCCUGUUAUCAAGGAUUUUUUUUUUUUCACAAUAGGAAUGAACAGAGUUCUGACUCAUUCUAGGUUUGUGGUAAAUUGCAGAUCACUUUCUGCUUUAUUUAGCCGGAGUCCCUGUCAUCAUCUUUCUCCUUCUCUAAAUCUGCCCUCAUAAUUACCAUGUCUUCCCCAAACGUUCUUCAACUGUGAAUAGCCCUAAGCACUACUCAGAGUGGGUGACAGCUCUCUUAUUUGGUGCUGGGGGACACACAAACCCUUGGACAAACAAUUGUCACUGUGUGCCAAGAAGCUGAAAAAUUCUCCAUGCCUCACAGCCAUAAUUACACUUCUGGUAGCAUAUUCUAAGGAAGUCAUCCCAUGUACAGGAAAAGCUGCAAUGUGUCAGGAUGUUCAUUCCAGCAAUAUUUAUAGUAGUGAAAAACUGAAAGCAACCAAAUGCCCAAGAAAAAAAUUACAGUAUAUCCACUGGAUGGAAUAGUAUGAAGCCAUUUAGGACAGAUUAUGAAAACCCUGUGGCAGUAUGGGAAAAUGUUUGCUAAGUUAUAUGAAAAAAUAAGGACACAAAAUAACAUAAGAUACAUUCCCCAGGGAUAUAGUCAGCAAAGUCUAGAAUGAAGAAAAUUAGGACAAACACUCAAUUCCCUUAACAAAUAAAAUUGGGGCCAGGUAUGAUGACUCACGCCUGUAAUCCCAGUACUUUGGGAGGCCAAGGCUUGAGUCCAGGAGUUCGAGACCAUCCUAGACAACAUGGUAAAACCCCAUGUCUACAAAAAAUACAAAAAUUAGCUGGGCAUGGUGGUGUGUCUAUAGUUGCAGCUACUCAGGAGGCUGAGGUGGGAGGAUCAGUUGAGCCCGGGAGGUCAAGGCUGCAGUGACCUGUGAUUGUGCCACUGCAUUCUAGUCUGGGCAGCAGAGUGAGACCCUGUCUCAAAAAAAAAAAAAA
Molecule: long non-coding RNA, 1249 nt
Filed under: Macaca fascicularis (crab-eating macaque)
Lineage: Eukaryota; Metazoa; Chordata; Mammalia; Primates; Cercopithecidae
Description: lncRNA (ENSMFAG00000055519.1)
Source: RNAcentral